UACAGGUGGUGCAUGGUUGUCGUCAGCUCGUGUCGUGAGAUGUUGGGUUAAGUCCCGCAACGAGCGCAACCCUUGUUCUGUGUUGCCAGCAUGCCUUUCGGGGUGAUGGGGACUCACAGGAGACUGCCGGGGUCAACUCGGAGGAAGGUGGGGACGACGUCAAAUCAUCAUGCCCCUUAUGUCUUGGGCUGCACACGUGCUACAAUGGUCGGUACAAAGGGCUGCGAUGCCGUGAGGCGGAGCGAAUCCCAAAAAGCCGGCCUCAGUUCGGAUUGGGGUCUGCAACUCGACCCCAUGAAGUUGGAGUUGCUAGUAAUCGCAGAUCAGCAUGCUGCGGUGAAUACGUUCCCGGGUCUUGUACACACC
This 366-nucleotide ribosomal RNA is filed under the name Kitasatospora cystarginea. RNAcentral's name for it is "bacterial SSU rRNA". It matches the Rfam family "Bacterial small subunit ribosomal RNA", at positions 1033 to 1391 of the family's 1533-position model. The record is from RNAcentral. Lineage: Bacteria; Bacillati; Actinomycetota; Actinomycetes; Kitasatosporales; Streptomycetaceae.